Molecule: ribosomal RNA, 614 nt
Filed under: uncultured bacterium
Lineage: Bacteria
Description: bacterial SSU rRNA
Rfam family: Bacterial small subunit ribosomal RNA (bases 1-519)
Source: RNAcentral
CCUACGGGAGGCAGCAGUGGGGAAUAUUGGACAAUGGGCGAAAGCCUGAUCCAGCAAUGCCGCGUGAGUGAUGAAGGCCUUAGGGUUGUAAAGCUCUUUUACCAGGGAUGAUAAUGACAGUACCUGGAGAAUAAGCUCCGGCUAACUCCGUGCCAGCAGCCGCGGUAAUACGGAGGGAGCUAGCGUUGUUCGGAAUUACUGGGCGUAAAGCGUACGUAGGCGGUUAUUCAAGUCAGAGGUGAAAGCCUGGAGCUCAACUCCAGAACUGCCUUUGAAACUAGAUAGCUAGAAUCUUGGAGAGGUGAGUGGAAUUCCGAGUGUAGAGGUGAAAUUCGUAGAUAUUCGGAAGAACACCAGUGGCGAAGGCGACUCACUGGACAAGUAUUGACGCUGAGGUACGAAAGCGUGGGGAGCAAACAGGAUUAGAUACCCUGGUAGUCCACGCCGUAAACGAUGAUAACUAGCUGUUCGGGCUCUACGAGCUUGUGUGGCGCAGCUACGACAUUAAGUUAGUCCGUCCGUCGGGAGGUACGGUCGCGAGAAGUUAAACGUACUAAUUAGUUAAGUUAGUUACGGCGUGAGACGUUGCCGACGGACGACGACGAGGGAGGAGG